UGCAGCAUUGAGGAUGACAAGAGGUCA
Molecule: non-coding RNA, 27 nt
Filed under: Homo sapiens (human)
Lineage: Eukaryota; Metazoa; Chordata; Mammalia; Primates; Hominidae
Source: RNAcentral